AAAUUGAUAGUAAAUAUUAUUCAUAUACUAUUAAUCAUAUUUUAGCUCAACUCUAACUCUCUCUCUCUAUACAAAUAUAUUAUAUAUUAUAUAUAUACACACAUAUAUACAUUACGAGUCCGGCUACUAUACUCUUAUCAGUAUAGACCUUUUUAUACUCAUAAAUUUUCGACCGUUAGAUCUACCUAUUUGGUCAUUUUCAUAUGCUAGAUCUUACUAUUCAUACUAUUAUCAUCCUAAUCGUACAUUCCUUCAUCUAACGGCUGAAAACUUAUGAGCACAAAGUGGUUUAUACCCAUAAAAGUUUAGUAAUCCUAGCC
Molecule: long non-coding RNA, 320 nt
Filed under: Ananas comosus (pineapple)
Lineage: Eukaryota; Viridiplantae; Streptophyta; Magnoliopsida; Poales; Bromeliaceae
Description: long non-coding RNA (ACOM_LNC030093)
Source: RNAcentral